Molecule: ribosomal RNA, 497 nt
Filed under: uncultured bacterium
Lineage: Bacteria
Description: partial 16S ribosomal RNA
Rfam family: Bacterial small subunit ribosomal RNA
Source: RNAcentral
GAUGAACGCUGGCGGCGUGCCUAAUACAUGCAAGUCGAGCGAACAGACGAGGAGCUUGCUCCUCUGACGUUAGCGGCGGACGGGUGAGUAACACGUGGAUAACCUACCUAUAAGACUGGGAUAACUUCGGGAAACCGGAGCUAAUACCGGAUAAUAUAUUGAACCGCAUGGUUCAAUAGUGAAAGACGGUUUUGCUGUCACUUAUAGAUGGAUCCGCGCCGCAUUAGCUAGUUGGUAAGGUAACGGCUUACCAAGGCAACGAUGCGUAGCCGACCUGAGAGGGUGAUCGGCCGCACUGGAACUGAGACACGGUCCAGACGACUACGGGAGGCAGCAGUAGGGAAUCUUCCGGAAUGGGCGAAAGCUGGACGGAGCAACGCCGCGUGAGUGAUGAAGGUCUUCGGAUCGUAAAACUCUGUUAUUAGGGAAGAACAAAGGUGUAAGUAACUAUGCACGUCUUGACGGUACCUAAUCAGAAAGCCACGGCUAACUACGUG